RNAcentral lists this unclassified non-coding RNA (767 nucleotides) under Hevea brasiliensis (rubber tree). The record is from RNAcentral. Lineage: Eukaryota; Viridiplantae; Streptophyta; Magnoliopsida; Malpighiales; Euphorbiaceae.
GGCACUGCAGCCAAGGAUCCAGAUCUCUUCUUCUCUUCCUCUCCCACCUUCAAACAAGUCAGCAAAAAUCUACUUCAUCUCCAUCAGGUAUUUGACGUAGGAUGGCCUUGGUCACCACUGCUGAAGUUUGCGAUGCAAAUCCACAGCUUAUUGUGAGUGGUGAACUACGGGCACUGCAGCCAAUCUUCAAAAUAUAUGGCAGGCGCCAAGUCUUCUCUGGACCUGUUGUCACUCUGAAAGUAUUCGAAGACAAUGUUUUGGUUCGUGAGUUUCUCGAGGAGAAAGGCAACGGUAGAGUUCUCGUUGUAGACGGGGGUGGUAGUCUAAGAUGUGCGAUUUUGGGUGGCAACCCUGUAGUACAAGCUCAAAACAACGGAUGGGCUGGGAUCGUAGUAAAUGGCUGUGUAAGGGACGUGGACGAAAUCAAUGGCUGUGAUAUCGGAGUCAGAGCUCUGGCUUCACAUCCAAUGAAAGCAAAUAAGAAAGGUAUUGGGGAGAAGCACGUUCCCAUAACCAUUGCCGGGACUAGAAUCUGCGAUGGUGAGUGGCUUUAUGCAGAUACCGAUGGCAUUCUGAUUUCUAAAAUGGAGCUAUGUGUUUGAGAACAUAUAUCCACCAUGCCUUAAGUAAGUGCAUAUCAAUUAUGAACUUAUUUUUAUGGAGCUUAUAUUGCCAUAACUACUGCUUUAUAUGUUAUGGGAAUCGCAAGCUUCAUUAUUAAUCUAUUGUAUGUUGUAAGUCAAAACUCGUCGUGAACACGUUUUUUU